RNAcentral lists this ribosomal RNA (380 nucleotides) under uncultured eukaryote. Its description in RNAcentral is "partial 18S ribosomal RNA". It matches the Rfam family "Eukaryotic small subunit ribosomal RNA", at positions 592 to 976 of the family's 1831-position model. The record is from RNAcentral.
CAAUAGCGUAUAUUAAAGUUGUUGCAGUUAAAAAGCUCGUAGUUGGAUUUGUGGCGUACGGUGUGUUCCGGGCACUUGUUGUCUGAGUAACCUGCUGUUGCCAUCCUUGGGUGGAACCUGUGUGGCAUUAGGUUGUCGUGCAGGGGAUGCCCAUCAUUUACUGUGAAAAAAUUAGAGUGUUCAAAGCAGGCUUAUGCCGUUGAAUAUAUUGGCAUGGAAUAAUGAGAUAGGACUUUUUUGCUAUUUUGUUGGUUUGCGCAAAGAGGUAAUGAUUAAUAGGGACAGUUGGGGAUAUUCGUAUUCCAUUGUCAGAGGUGAAAUUCUUGGAUUUUUGGAAGACGAACUACUGCGAAAGCAUUUGCCAAGAGUGUUUUCAUUAA